This 288-nucleotide long non-coding RNA is filed under the name Coffea arabica (coffee). RNAcentral describes it as "long non-coding RNA (CARA_LNC006306)". The record is from RNAcentral. Lineage: Eukaryota; Viridiplantae; Streptophyta; Magnoliopsida; Gentianales; Rubiaceae.
CUGCUUCGGGAAUUCGAUGACUACUGGUUUCAAAGCUUCAUUCUCCGCUGGCGUGAGAUCUAAGACAAAAGGCUUGUUAUCUUCUUCGAAUGGCAACUCUAUGACAAACGGUUGGUCCGUGACCCCAAACACUUCAGCUUCUAUUGCCAAUUUCUUGAUUUGUUCCUCGUACUCCGCAUCGUCCAUAAUAACCCCAACAUGCUCUGGUAAGGGGUUUUGAUUUACGUUUGGCCCUUGCGGCUCCCUCUUUCUGAUCACGAUUUCUCCAGACUCAACCAUAUCCUGAAC